This 75-nucleotide ribosomal RNA is filed under the name Haemophilus influenzae. Its description in RNAcentral is "partial 16S ribosomal RNA". It matches the Rfam family "Bacterial small subunit ribosomal RNA", at positions 1461 to 1533 of the family's 1533-position model. The record is from RNAcentral. Lineage: Bacteria; Pseudomonadati; Pseudomonadota; Gammaproteobacteria; Pasteurellales; Pasteurellaceae.
GGUAUGAUUCAUGACUGGGGUGAAGUCGUAACAAGGUAACCGUAGGGGAACCUGCGGUUGGAUCACCUCCUUACC